RNAcentral lists this transfer RNA (82 nucleotides) under Oscillospiraceae bacterium. Its description in RNAcentral is "tRNA-Leu". It matches the Rfam family "tRNA". From Rfam's summary of the family: Transfer RNA (tRNA) molecules are approximately 80 nucleotides in length. Their secondary structure includes four short double-helical elements and three loops (D, anti-codon, and T loops). Further hydrogen bonds mediate the characteristic L-shaped molecular structure. tRNAs have two regions of fundamental functional importance: the anti-codon, which is responsible for specific mRNA codon recognition, and the 3' end, to which the tRNAs corresponding amino acid is attached (by aminoacyl-tRNA synthetases). tRNAs cope with the degeneracy of the genetic code in two manners: having more than one tRNA (with a specific anti-codon) for a particular amino acid; and 'wobble' base-pairing, i.e. permitting non-standard base-pairing at the 3rd anti-codon position. The record is from RNAcentral. Lineage: Bacteria; Bacillati; Bacillota; Clostridia; Eubacteriales; Oscillospiraceae.
GCGGGUGUGGUGAAACUGGCAGACACGCCAGAUUUAGGUUCUGGUGCCGUGAGGUGUGCAGGUUCAAGUCCUGUCACCCGCA